This 645-nucleotide long non-coding RNA is filed under the name Apis florea (little honeybee). Its description in RNAcentral is "uncharacterized LOC105737268, transcript variant X1". Lineage: Eukaryota; Metazoa; Arthropoda; Insecta; Hymenoptera; Apidae. The record is from RNAcentral.
GUUAACGUGUAUUUUUCUUUCGUUUAUUUUCUGUGUGUAAAGAAACGUUUGGCCGAAAUAAUUUCAAGAAAUAAUGAAGAUGACAUUGCAUCUAAUAGUAAUCGAGGUUCCAUUGUAAUAACACCUGCUACGAAGCAAGAUAAGUAAGUUCCAAUUGCAUGACAAUGAAGAACGCUUCAAGACACCGUUGAGCUUCUUGCCAGUACUUAAUACGCUCGAUCGAAGAACGAAUGAAAAUUCCAUGGAAGGGGAUGGAUCUACCAUUGGCCGAUAGAAUAUUCGCCAAGGUAUUAUUCAAAUUAAAUGGAAUCGACUGUCGUCGACCGCGGGUUAGGACCGUUUGUAAUAGAGCUAGGCCGGAAUUCGAAAUGCCACCGAUAAAGGAUGGGUUUCACCGUUCCGAGAAGAACAUUCCCCUUUGUCGUCGAUACCCGUUCAACGACACGCUCACAUCGACCGAAAAUUUUAUGAUGUCUUCAAUGUCCAUCCCUUGUGAACAGCAAUCUUUUAGAGACUUUCAGAAGUAUUGAGAUCGGAUGAAGAAAUUAAGACAAGGAUCGUUUCACCUUUCAACUUUCAGCCUGCCAAAGGAUCUUGGAUCUUUGUUAUUAUAAGUUUGUAUGAAGUCAUUGUAAAGCAGAAGAA